GAUGAACGCUAGCGGCAGGCCUAAUACAUGCAAGUCGAGCGGCAAGUCGAGGAGUAAUCUGAGACCUAGAGCGGCGUACGGGUGCGUAACGCGUAUGCAACCUACCUCAUACAGGGGGAUAGCCCGGAGAAAUCUGGAUUAAUACCCCAUAGCACAGCACAAGGGCAUCUGCGAGCUGUUAAAGAUUCAUCGGUAUGAGAUGGGCAUGCGUCUGAUUAGCUAGUUGGCGGUGUAACGGACCACCAAGGCGAUGAUCAGUAGGGGUUCUGAGAAGAAGGUCCCCCACACUGGCACUGAGAUACGGGCCAGACUCCUACGGGAGGCAGCAGUAGGGAAUAUUGGGCAAUGGACGAGAGUCUGACCCAGCCAGGCCGCGUGCAGGAAGAAGGCCUUCUGGGUUGUAAACUGCUUUUAUCUGGGAAGAAAAGGCCCAUGCGUGGGACAUUGCCGGUACCAGAUGAAUAAGCACCGGCUAACUCCGUGCCAGCCGCCGCGGUAA
Molecule: ribosomal RNA, 499 nt
Filed under: uncultured bacterium
Lineage: Bacteria
Description: partial 16S ribosomal RNA
Rfam family: Bacterial small subunit ribosomal RNA
Source: RNAcentral